UUUGACCUCGGAUCAUGUAGG
Molecule: ribosomal RNA, 21 nt
Filed under: Alternaria tenuissima
Lineage: Eukaryota; Fungi; Ascomycota; Dothideomycetes; Pleosporales; Pleosporaceae
Description: partial 28S ribosomal RNA
Source: RNAcentral